UUUUAUCUUAAAAAUGAAUAUUGUGUCUUAUAUAGCUAACUACGGCCAAUUUUAUUAAUUUAAUAUUUUAAAUAACAAUAUUUUUUGGAAUUUACACAGUUUGCGCAAAAUCAGGCUCUAUCUCGCUUUCUUGAGGAGUGACUUGGCAUACCCAAGCUAUUUCCAUAUGACUGUGCACAUUGUAAAUCUACGUUGUAAUAAGACCGAAGUGGAUAAAAUUAUAUAAAAAUGUACUUACAAUUAAAAAUUUCCAAAGAUUCCUAAAAUGGUACUUGCAGUCUACUGAAGAUCACAUACUGGGCGGACAAAGAAGUUAAGACCGGCACGUAUAUGUUAAGUAUUUUUAAUAUAUAAGAAAAUAAACGCUAGAUGAACAAUGUGCCGUACAAG
Molecule: long non-coding RNA, 390 nt
Organism: Acromyrmex echinatior (Panamanian leafcutter ant)
Lineage: Eukaryota; Metazoa; Arthropoda; Insecta; Hymenoptera; Formicidae
Source: RefSeq, a predicted model, not a curated record